GAUGAACGCUGGCGGCGUGCCUAAUACAUGCAAGUCGAGCGGUAAGGCUCCUUCGGGAGUACACGAGCGGCGGACGGGGGAGUAAUACGUAGGAACGUACCCCAAAGUGAGGAAUAACCAGCCGAAAGGUUGGCUAAUACCGCAUAUGCUCUACGGAGUAAAGCAGCAAUGCGCUUUGGGAACGGCCUGCGUCCGAUUAGCUAGUUGGUAAGGUAAAGGCUUACCAAGGCGACGAUCGGUAGCUGUUCUGAGAGGAUGAUCAGCCACACGGGAACUGAGACACGGUCCAGACUCCUACGGGAGGCAGCAGUAGGGAAUUUUCCACAAUGGGCGAAAGCCUGAUGGAGCAACGCCGCGUGCAGGAUGAAGGCCUUAGGGUUGUAAACUGCUUUUAUCUGUGACGAUUAUGACAGUAGCAGAUGAAUAAGGAUCGGCUAACUCCGUGCCAGCCGCCGCGGUAA
Molecule: ribosomal RNA, 461 nt
Filed under: uncultured bacterium
Lineage: Bacteria
Description: partial 16S ribosomal RNA
Rfam family: Bacterial small subunit ribosomal RNA
Source: RNAcentral